This 952-nucleotide ribosomal RNA is filed under the name uncultured organism. Its description in RNAcentral is "bacterial SSU rRNA". It matches the Rfam family "Bacterial small subunit ribosomal RNA", at positions 470 to 1438 of the family's 1533-position model. The record is from RNAcentral.
UGACGGUACCCUUUCGAAUAAGAGGUUGCUAACUCUGUGCCAGCAGCAGCGGUAAUACAGAGACCUCGAGCGUUAUCCGGAUUUACUGGGCGUAAAGCGUCUGUAGGGGGUUUGUUAAGUUCCAAGUAAAAUCUUAAGGCUCAACUUUAAGUUCGCUUGGAAAACUAAUAAACUGGAGUCCAGCAGAGGUGCAUGGAACUUGCAGUGUAGGAGUGAAAUCCGUUGAUAUCGCAAGGAACACCAAAGGCGAAGGCAUUGCACUGGGCUGGUACUGACCCUGAGAGACGAAAGCGUGGGGAGCAAAACGGAUUAGAUACCCGUGUAGUCCACGCCGUAAACGAUGAAUACUAGAUGUUCGGGGAUUCGACCCCCUGGGUGUCACAGCUAACGCGUUAAGUAUCCCGCCUGGGAAGUACGGCCGCAAGGCUAAAACUCAAAGGAAUAGACGGGGAUCCGCACAAGCGGUGGAGCGUCUGGUUUAAUUUGAUAGUAAGCAAUGGACCUCACCAAGGUUUGACAUCCUAUGACAACCCUGGAAACAGGGCUUCCUUCGGGCAUAGUGACAGGUGCUGCAUGGUCGUCGUCAGUUCGUGCCGUGAGGUGUUCCGUUAAGUCGGGAAACGAACGAAACCCUCGUCGCAUGUUACAAAUUUCAUGCGAGACUGCCCGGGUCAACCGGGAGGAAGGCGGGGAUGACGUCAGAUCAGCAUGGCCCUUAUACCUUGGGCUACACAGGCGCUACAAUGGCCGGUACAAAGGGUUGCAAAACCGCGAGGUGAAGCUAAUCCCAUAAAGCCGGUCCAAGUUCGGAUUGGAGGCUGCAACUCGCCUCCAUGAAGUUGGAAUCGCUAGUAAUCGUGGAUCAGCCAUACCACGGUGAAUACGUUCCCGGAUCUUGUACUCACCGCCCGUCACACCAAGAGAGUUGGUAGCUCCUGAAGCGUCGCAUUAG